GUGAUAUGAGGUGUAGCACCGUCACCACCGUCACCUCAUGCGAUAUGAGGUGUCGCACCGUCACCUCGUGCGAUAUGAGGUGUAUAACCGUCACCUCGUGCGAUAUGAGGUGUAUAACUGUCACCUCGUGCGAUAUGAGGUGUAGCACCGUCACCUUGUGCGAUAUGAAGUGUAGAGUUUGCAUGUUCUCUCCGUGUCAACGGCGGUUUUCCUCCAGGUGUUCUGGUUUCCUCCGACUGUCCAAAAACAUGCAUCAUGACCUCUCACCUAACGUGAGCUGUUAAGGCUCAUAUUGAGUGAGAGUUAUUCAGAAAACACAUUCUGAAAAAUAAAAUAAAAUAAAAUAAAAUAAAUAA
Molecule: long non-coding RNA, 356 nt
Organism: Sebastes umbrosus (honeycomb rockfish)
Lineage: Eukaryota; Metazoa; Chordata; Actinopteri; Perciformes; Sebastidae
Exons: 2
Source: RefSeq, a predicted model, not a curated record